Molecule: long non-coding RNA, 948 nt
Filed under: Cricetulus griseus (Chinese hamster)
Lineage: Eukaryota; Metazoa; Chordata; Mammalia; Rodentia; Cricetidae
Description: lncRNA (ENSCGRG00015035812.1)
Source: RNAcentral
UUUCUUAUAUAUCAGUGAUUCUCCUCAAACAUCGACAGCCGUUAAAUCCAUCAUUAUGGAUAAAAUUGGUGCAAACUGGUCACAUGGAUUCGGCAAACACUGAUGUCCAAGUUGGCAUAUUGGCUCCACCACGUGGGGGUUUCUUUGUUCAGCACAGCAUGUUCGGCUCCUACACCCUCUGCAUCUGACUGAAGACUCCACCUUCUCUCAGUCUGGCUCUUCCGCCUAACCUAUUCCUGCCUAGCUAUUGGCCAGUCAGGUGUGGCGAGUUCUUUAACCACCGAGCCAUCUCCCCAGCCCCACCCUUGACUCUCGGAUCUCUCCAGGAUACUGCAUGCUGACAGGUGCCAUGGGUCAAGUUCAAGGUGACUUUGGAAUCCACACUUGGAAGACCUUCGCCAGCCUGGGUCUCUGAAGGGAAGUGUGGAAUGGAGCUGUCCCCACCUGACCCUGACACAUAAGCAGAGCCACCUAUUUCCUGGCUCAGACGGGAGCGGCCAGGAGAACAAGGGUCCCAGAAGCCUGAUAGUCAUUCAAGCCACUCCAAGCCGGUGGCUCCCAGGUUUGGAUUCUGAGAUGGGCAUGGACAGUACAAAAGCAAAGCUUUACUGAAUUGGAAAGCAGCUUCCCACAAGGGAAUGGACUUGAAGGUGUGUUGCCAGCCCUGCGGGCCUCCUGGUUCUGUUUUCCGUCCUAAUUGGCUUGGGCCGUAUGUAAACUGUAAUUGAGUUUAGAGAUUUCUGUUUGGCUGAGUUGGAUGGGUGUGGGGUGAGGUAGGAGAAACAGACUGGAGGAGGGGAGUGGGGUUGACUAACAAGUCUCAAGAAGGAAGGAGGAACCGGAAAGUGAGGAAAGCAGGUGUCAGCAGCCAUUACUAUUACCUUGGUGAGUCAGAGCCUUUUAAAGUUCCCAGCUGGGUGAAAUGCACGGCUUUGGGGAUGAUUUUUU